Molecule: small RNA, 118 nt
Organism: Xylella fastidiosa Temecula1
Lineage: Bacteria; Pseudomonadati; Pseudomonadota; Gammaproteobacteria; Lysobacterales; Lysobacteraceae
Rfam family: Xanthomonadaceae sRNA asX1
Source: Rfam
CACCUGCCGCAGCAUUUGCGGCUACAGGCGCAAAGGUCGGGAUUGGAAUAGGGGCUGGCCACGCGUGCGGUGGGGAAGCAAGGGGCUGGCAGGUCAGAGGGCUGCCAGCCUUUGAUGU